RNAcentral lists this long non-coding RNA (1015 nucleotides) under Anser brachyrhynchus (Pink-footed goose). RNAcentral's name for it is "lncRNA (ENSABRG00000019466.1)". The record is from RNAcentral. Lineage: Eukaryota; Metazoa; Chordata; Aves; Anseriformes; Anatidae.
GUAGAGCUGGUGCUCAAGACAGAAGUCAGCUCUUGCUGUGAGCACAGUGCUGGUGCGAGGGUCCCGGCGGGGAGCCAACAGCCCCCACACUGCCCCAAGAUUGGCAUGGAGGCGGACAGGACGAGCUCCAGAGGACAAUGACUAGGCCCUCUUGAUAGACCUUGACCCUCUCCCUCCCAGAGCUGAGCACGGCUGUGACCUGUCAUUGCUGCUCUGCAAUCUCCUGUGAAAGGCACUACCAAAGGUAACUCCUGCUGCUGGAAGGAAGGACUACUGGAGGACCAACCUAUGCUGCUUCCUUUUCUUGAGUGAGAAUUGCCCGCUUCAGCUCAUCCUACAUGAGGGUGUGGAUGUUUCUUCUGGAUGCUUCUUCUCCUGCUCAUUAAUUGACCCCUGGACUGACACUGGCAGAGGUGUUGGCUCCUGCGGGAGGACAGGCACCGGUGGGAGCAAACCAGCCUGGAUUCCCUUCUGGAAACGAAGCAGUGGCAGGACCCACAGAGGGAGAAUUGCUCCCCUGGGGCUGCUGGGACCCAGAAGUUCCUGCCUGAGUUGUGCUCCAUGGUGUGUAGGAGCAUCACCUCUGCCCUAGGCUGGUGGCAUGCUGCACAACUUCACAGGACCAGCCUUGAGAUAUAGCUGGAGGUGCAGGAUCCCACCAGCACCAACUCACCCUGCCUCCUUCUGGCACUGUGUAUGGAUACUGCCAGUCUUCCUACACGUCCUGAGGCAGCAAAGAAACAUCUACCAGAGGUGGUGACAGGUGAUUCAGCAGGAGCUCUGGUGACUCAUCUAGCUGCUGAGGAGAUUAAAAUCAAUUCCUGCUUCAGAAAAUGACAAACUGCCCUUUGGUGUCACCCAUUAAUCUACAGCGACUGCUGGGCUGGAAAAAAAACAGUCCCUAUUUAUUAACAUAGCCACGAGAGGGAGCUCAUAAAUCCCAUGACUGCAACAAGGACAUAUGGAAAUGGACCAAUGUAGAGAUUUUAAAUUCAAUUAUUAGAAAACAGCUGGU